AGAAACGUAGGCAAAAUGAGAGAGGUAACCCCAGAGGGCCCUUGUUUGGGUUCACACACCAGUCUAGGCAGGUGGAAUCCAGAGGGAACACAGGCACAGGUGGAGAGGAGAAGUGGGACUGAGUAAGCAACUGUGUGAUACCUAUUUGCCAGCUGGU
Molecule: long non-coding RNA, 157 nt
Organism: Melospiza melodia melodia
Lineage: Eukaryota; Metazoa; Chordata; Aves; Passeriformes; Passerellidae
Exons: 3
Source: RefSeq, a predicted model, not a curated record